UACGUAGGGUGCAAGCGUUAAUCGGAAUUACUGGGCGUAAAGCGUGCGCAGGCGGUUUCGUAAGUCUGUCGUGAAAUCCCCGGGCUCAACCUGGGAAUUGCGAUGGAGACUGCGAGGCUUGAGUGUGGCAGAGGGGGGUGGAAUUCCGCGUGUAGCAGUGAAAUGCGUAGAGAUGCGGAGGAACACCGGUGGCGAAGGCGGCAUCCUGGACCGGCAUUGACGCUGAGGAGCGAAAGCCAGGGGAGCAAACGGG
Molecule: ribosomal RNA, 253 nt
Filed under: uncultured bacterium
Lineage: Bacteria
Description: partial 16S ribosomal RNA
Rfam family: Bacterial small subunit ribosomal RNA
Source: RNAcentral